Molecule: long non-coding RNA, 545 nt
Organism: Lepidothrix coronata (blue-crowned manakin)
Lineage: Eukaryota; Metazoa; Chordata; Aves; Passeriformes; Pipridae
Exons: 4
Source: RefSeq, a predicted model, not a curated record
ACACACUACCACAGAACAUCUACUUUUUCAUGACACAAUUUACUGCCUUAUGUUCUAAUUCAGAAUUUUUUUUCCUCUAGAUUUGGAAGCUCCUGUGAAAGGUCAUUCAUUCAGAUUUAAGCUGGUGGGUUUUGUUUGGCUCCUGCUUGCUUGACACAACCAAAAAGAAAGUACUCACGAGAGAGUGUUCUGAGUGAGGAAAGAGAUCAGUGGUGACAAAAAAUUAUCUAGAGCUGCAAUAGUAAAGAAAAUUUCAGUUUUGUAGAAAACAGCCAAAUAAUCCCCUCAUCAUUCAGCAGGGUGCUGCUACCUUAAAAAGGAUUUCAGACAUGAUAAGGAGCUAAAAUUUCCUAAUUACUUCCCAUAUUACUCGUAGGAAGGCUUUAGGCUGUCAAGAAUCAGGAGUUAGUGGAUUGGAGCUUCUGCAACAGUUCCCAGUAAUAAUCUUUAGAAAGGUUUAACUUUGCAGCAACAAGGGAAGGUAGCUGAAUAGAGGACAUGGUCAAAAGAAACCUACUCAAGUGAAUUGGCAGGAAUAAUAUAAG